GCCUCCGUAGCUCAGCAGGAUAGAGCGUCCGCCUCCUAAGCGGAAGGUCACGCGUUCGAAUCGCGUCGGGGGUGCCA
RNAcentral lists this transfer RNA (77 nucleotides) under Lawsonibacter sp. RNAcentral describes it as "tRNA-Arg". It matches the Rfam family "tRNA". Rfam says of the family: Transfer RNA (tRNA) molecules are approximately 80 nucleotides in length. Their secondary structure includes four short double-helical elements and three loops (D, anti-codon, and T loops). Lineage: Bacteria; Bacillati; Bacillota; Clostridia; Eubacteriales; Oscillospiraceae. The record is from RNAcentral.